This 111-nucleotide ribosomal RNA is filed under the name Vibrio splendidus. RNAcentral also lists the same sequence under 12 other names. Lineage: Bacteria; Pseudomonadati; Pseudomonadota; Gammaproteobacteria; Vibrionales; Vibrionaceae. The record is from RNAcentral.
CGACCAUAGCAUUGUGGACCCACCUGAUUCCAUGCCGAACUCAGAAGUGAAACACAAUAGCGCCGAUGGUAGUGUGGGGCUUCCCCAUGUGAGAGUAGGACAUCGCCAGGC